Molecule: transfer RNA, 71 nt
Filed under: Muribaculaceae bacterium
Lineage: Bacteria; Pseudomonadati; Bacteroidota; Bacteroidia; Bacteroidales; Muribaculaceae
Description: tRNA-Cys
Rfam family: tRNA
About the family: Transfer RNA (tRNA) molecules are approximately 80 nucleotides in length.
Source: RNAcentral
GGUUCCAUGGCCGAGAGGUUAGGCAACGGUCUGCAAAACCGUGCACAGCAGUUCGAAUCUGCUUGGGACCU